UGCGUAGGCGGGCUAAUAAGUCAGUGGUGAAAUCUCUCGGCUCAACCGGGAAACUGCCAUUGAUACUGUUAGUCUUGAGUUCGGUUGAGGUAGGCGGAAUGUGUAAUGUAGCGGUGAAAUGCUUAGAUAUUACACAGAACACCAAUUGCGUAGGCAGCUUACUAGACCGAUACUGACGCUGAGGCACGAAAGCGUGGGUAGCGAACAGGAUUAGAUACCCUGGUAGUCC
This 229-nucleotide ribosomal RNA is filed under the name uncultured bacterium. Its description in RNAcentral is "partial 16S ribosomal RNA". It matches the Rfam family "Bacterial small subunit ribosomal RNA", at positions 568 to 796 of the family's 1533-position model. The record is from RNAcentral.